This is a non-coding RNA of Zootoca vivipara (common lizard), 753 nucleotides long. The record is from the annotation of a RefSeq genome assembly. Lineage: Eukaryota; Metazoa; Chordata; Lepidosauria; Squamata; Lacertidae.
GAUUGCUUUGACACUUCUUCCAGUAUACUGACAUUAGUUCACCUGUCUUCCCAGGUGAUGUGUUAAAAAUUUUCAGAGACACCAUUGAUUGAAUCUUUCGAGGCGUUGGAGAUGUUGUGAGAGUGAGCCCCAGUGAACUCACUCAAUGGGACUUUCAAAUAGACAUAAACUGAAUUGCACUGUAGCUCUGGGCAAUCAUUGCUGUCUCUGCCUUUGCGAUGACAUAAACUGGAGUCAAGAGAAGGAAGCAGACGCUGCGGCUGUUCUAAAACGUUUGCCCACAAACGUUUGCCCGCAGCUCAGGACGGAAGAGAUGUGGAUCAUCUGGUGUGUGGCCACUUGCCUCUUGGAAGUAGGAUGGUCCAAUGCAGAGAUCAGGCAACAGUGGAGUCUGGUGCUUCAGGAAGGCAGAAAUGCCACGCUGGAGUGCGAACAAACUACCGACCACAACAGCAUGCUUUGGUUCCGGCAAGACUCAGGACAGGGUCUGCAGCUUCUCUUUAAUUUCUAUUUAACUCAACUACAACAAAAAGGCAACAUUUCUGAGCGUUUCCAAGCUGAGCAGCGCGAAACAAAGCAAUGCCACCUUAACAUUUCCCCAGCCAGACCAAAGGAUUCAGCUGUGUAUUUCUGUGCAACUAGCAAAGACACAGCAUUUCAAAGCCACCUCUUCUUCCUACCAAAACCUCACUUCAUUGAUGUGCAUGGAGGGUAGAGGGAAGAUUACCCAAGACUUAGUGGCAGAGGGUUCUU